GGAUUUCUAAGCACUACGUACAUCCAUCCUGUCAUCACGCAGAGACUUACGAAGUAUUUACGACUAGAAACUAUGGGUGUCUGUUUGGAGCUGGAAGCAGACUGAUGGUAGCAAGAGGUAGAACCAAAUUGCCGUACAGCCAAUUAGUUAUGCGGUGAAAACGUUUGCGGCGAAAUGCUUUGGGACAGCGAUGUCUAUGGUGGAGAUGGUCACAGUAGGAACACCAGACAUGAUCUUCAUCAUCCACACACUCUGGAAUCCUCACCACUACUCCGGAUAUGUUCUUUCCAAGGUUAUAAGACUCAGUCCACACUGCCAAAUCGAAUAGUUAUUUUUUGGCCCUCAUCCUGCUCCACCUUUCAGCAUCCCACCCUGCUUUCCACACGCUUGUUCGUGACAUUUUCUGUAGUGUCUCCAGCCUCUCAUUCUCCAGUUCCUUUUCCUUUAGUGCCUCAAUGAUUUAAUGCCUCAGGGCUCGGCCUGGCAUCUCCUUUCCCAACUCUCUGUUCAUUCCUAUGACCUUAAAUAUAUAUUAAAAAUGCGCAAAUAUAGAUCCCAGUCCAACCUUC
Neofelis nebulosa (Clouded leopard) is the source of this 569-nucleotide long non-coding RNA. RefSeq lists it as uncharacterized. The record is from RefSeq and is a predicted model, not a curated record. The transcript is spliced from 2 exons. Lineage: Eukaryota; Metazoa; Chordata; Mammalia; Carnivora; Felidae.